AGUGAACGCUAGUGGCGUGCUUAACACAUGCAAGUCGAACGGACGAUAUUUGUGCUUGCACAAAUAAAGUUAGUGGCAAACGGGUGAGUAAUACAUGAGAAUUUUCCUUGCAGUACGGAAUAACUAUUGGAAACAGUAGCUAAUACCGUAUAUUGCCGAGAGGUGAAAGAUUUAUCGCUGCAAGAUAAGCCCAUGCAAGAUUAGCUUGUUGGUAAGGUAAUGGCUUACCAAGGCUACGAUCUUUAGCUGGUUUGAGAGGAUGAUCAGCCACACUGGAACUUAGACACGGUCCAGACUCCUACGGGAGGCAGCAGCUAAGAAUAUUCCGCAAUGGGGGAAACCCUGACGGAGCAAUCUCUCAUGGAUGAUGAAUGUCUUCGGAUUGUAAAAUCCUUUCGGCAAGGAAGAAUGUGUAGAGUAGGAAAUGGCUUUGCAUUGACGGUACUUGCAGAAGAAGUCCCGGCUAACUACGUGCCAGCCGCCGCCGUAAAAC
RNAcentral lists this ribosomal RNA (493 nucleotides) under uncultured bacterium. Its description in RNAcentral is "bacterial SSU rRNA". It matches the Rfam family "Bacterial small subunit ribosomal RNA", at positions 29 to 526 of the family's 1533-position model. The record is from RNAcentral.